Molecule: ribosomal RNA, 460 nt
Filed under: uncultured bacterium
Lineage: Bacteria
Description: partial 16S ribosomal RNA
Rfam family: Bacterial small subunit ribosomal RNA
Source: RNAcentral
CCUACGGGAGGCAGCAGUGAGGAAUAUUGGUCAAUGGACGGAAGUCUGAACCAGCCAUGCCGCGUGCAGGAAGACGGCUCUAUGAGUUGUAAACUGCUUUUGUACAAGGGUAAACCUGAAUACGUGUAUUCAGCUGAAAGUACUGUACGAAUAAGGAUCGGCUAACUCCGUGCCAGCAGCCGCGGUAAUACGGAGGAUCCAAGCGUUAUCCGGAUUUAUUGGGUUUAAAGGGUGCGUAGGCGGAUUGAUAAGUUAGAGGUUAAAUGUCCGAGCUUAACUCGGGAACUGCCUCUAAUACUGUUGAUCUAGAGAGUAGAUGCGGUAGGCGGAAUGUAUGGUGUAGCGGUGAAAUGCUUAGAGAUCAUACAGAACACAGAUUGCGAAGGCAGCUUACCAAUCUAUAUCUGACGUUGAGGCACGAAAGCGUGGGGAGCAAACAGGAUUAGAGACCCCGGUAGUC